This 1126-nucleotide long non-coding RNA is filed under the name Medicago truncatula (barrel medic). RNAcentral describes it as "long non-coding RNA (MTRU_LNC005086)". The record is from RNAcentral. Lineage: Eukaryota; Viridiplantae; Streptophyta; Magnoliopsida; Fabales; Fabaceae.
AACUACUUUGUGAAUUUUUUGUAACAAACUAAAAUGAGAAUCUAAUCAAAUCUAAAAUAACCUAUGUUACAAAAAUUGUUACGGCAAAACCUAUGUGACCUAGGAUGCAACUACUUGUCUUGUUUCUAACCAUACAUUUAUAUUAACUUCGUUUCACUUUCUGUUUGUUUGUGGUCCUACACACUCACUCCCUCGCUGUGGACAUGGAGAACAAACUCAUGCGUGCUGUUCAGUACAAUGCCUAUGGUGGAGGAUCCACUGGCUUGAAGGUUCUUCUACUUCUUUUAAUUACUCUCUCAGAUAUAUAUAUUCAUUUCUGUUUUAACUUAAUUAUGUAUUUGUCAAUGUGAUUUGUGUGGAUUAUUUGAUUAAAGUGAAGAGAAAGAGAUAUAUUAUAAUUCUCAUGAUUACAUUUUGUUUUUAUGUUUAUAACUAGUUUUAAUUUUAUAGGAAACAAUUUAGAUUAGGGAAGGCACGUCUGCUGGUGCGAGCGGAAGGUCUAACCAUAUGUGCCAACCUCAAUUGGUUAUGUUUAUAAUUAGUGAUCAAGGUUUUAGAUUUUUUUUUUAACGACAAAUGUUAGUAUUUUCUCCUCGCUAGAUUUGAACCCUUUAAUCCGGUUGCUCAACCAAGUGAGCCACUCAUCCACCCUGAUCAAGGUUUUAAAUUGUGAUCACGGGUGUCAUUAUUUUGCAGAAAUUACGGUCGGCUAAGCCAGAUGACCAAAACUAUGGUUAGACAGACAUCAAAUAACUUCUACAUUGUCGACAGCUUUUUAAACCUCGCCGGUGAUUGUGAUACUAUCAGUUAGUGUGAUUUUUUUUCUAUCCAAUCUUAUGUUCGAUUAGAACAACAUUGUUAUACGAUGAGCCUCCUCCACCAAAAUAUACAUUCUCUUCAUGGUAAUGUCUAGCUGUUUAGAAUGUCUUAUCAGCUUAUCUACUGACAUGAGUUUUGUGAGAUUGUUUGGGAGAAUUUAUGAAAACAACUUAUGACAAUUUUCAUAAGUUGUCUUCAACUUAUUUUCAUAAGUUCUCCAAUAUAGCUUAUAAAAACAACUUAUAGCAUUUAUUAAAACAAUUUAAAGUUCUUUUAUCUUUUAUGAUAGAAAUAGCUUAAGCAAGCU